Podarcis lilfordi (Lilford's wall lizard) is the source of this 1576-nucleotide non-coding RNA. Lineage: Eukaryota; Metazoa; Chordata; Lepidosauria; Squamata; Lacertidae. The record is from the annotation of a GenBank genome assembly.
GGUAUAAAUAAUAAAUGAUUAUUAUUAUUAUUAUUAGGCUUCAUUUCCCAUCCAUUCACCCAUCGGAGGAUAUGGUAUGUAAUAUCAUGGUUCUGUUGCCGCAAAAACCAUAGCUUUUUCUUCAGAGGUGGGGUCCAAUUCCAAAUCCAUUCACUCUCACUUAAUGUAUUAUAAAUUCAUCUGCAACAAGGCCCAGACCCAAUAAUGAGAGAAGCAAGUCUCCUCCAUCCCUUUCAGAGAUUGAAGGCUUGGUACUUCUUCCCAAGCACCCACAAGCAGAGGCUCCCAUUGAUCUUCCCCGUUUUAGGGGUGUUUUUAGAUGAUCUUUUCUUCUCUGUCAAUGAAGUGAGGGAGGUUUUGUGAGGGGAUAUGCAACAGAUAUUAAUAAUAGAUAAAGAUGGCUCUGGAGUUUUUUUAAAAAAACCUUUUAAAAAAGGAAAAGACAAAGGGUGAUAUAUUUAAAGGCUUGUUUAAACUUCUAUUGUUGACGUGAUUUCCCAACGAGCAGCUUUUCUGUUUCAUUUUGCCCGUGGCAAAUACCUAAAGAUCAGUAAUAAAGCCUUAUACAAAUACCUUCAUACUUUGCUAGAACAGCAUUUUGACACUCGCUGAUACAGUACAAGGAAAAGGACAACACUACAUUAAUGUUUGACAACACAGUAAGAGCAUUGUGUAUUCACCUGCAAUGAAUGACGAAAAAAUUGGAUGAAUUAAAACAGAAAGGUUCUCAGGGUUUAUAUUUAAAAGUUUAUCUAGAUCACAGUGAUUCUGUUCCCAAGCACUGUCUUCUGUUGUCCCAUUAUUUCUCCUGAGGUGUUGUAAAACGGUUGGACCAUACAAGUGCAAAAGAAAAAUAGAUAUUAAUUUAUUAUUAUACAUCCCAAGCACCCCAGUAUGCCAAGAGAGACCACCGCUUUUCCUACUAGUGUCUCUGGCUAGUGAAUAAUGAUGUAAUUAGUAUGAACUAAAUAAGUAAUUGCCGUUUGCAAGUGCAAGUAUUGCUACUAUUGUUGCCAUUUGUCCUGAGAAAAUACAGUUGGUGUGUAGAAAGAGGUUUCAUGUUAGCUUCGCAUGGUAAAAUUACGUGUUUUGGGAGGCUUGCCGAAAGAUGAAAAGGUUUUAGCAGGUGCAGAAAACAAUACACUGACAGUACUUGCCUAAUGUUAAUAGUCAGGGAGUUUCAGAGAGACUGUGCUGUUGCAUUGAAGGAUCAGUCUUACCAGAUCUGCAAACAGUCUGGUGUUUGGAACCGAAAGGACACAGCUGCCCAUGGGCUCAGGGCUCCCUGUAGUAGACUGAAACCUCUCACAUUGUCACUGUACUAUUGGAGAAAAAUGAACACCCAACCAGACUCUAUUAGUUCACACUCCUGCCUCUGCCUGCUCCAUCACACAUACCUAAAUAUGAUCAGUGUUGUGAAUGGCUUCUCUCCAGCUGUGAUUGUUGAUGCCACACCAUGGGCUAGUGUCCACAUGUGAGUGUUAUUCUGCUGUUAAUCUGCUUUGCUCUCGAUUCAAAUUACCAUAUUUUUCGCUCUAUAAGACGCACCAGACCACAAGACGCACCUAGUUUUUGG